Dermacentor silvarum is the source of this 462-nucleotide long non-coding RNA. RefSeq lists it as uncharacterized. The record is from RefSeq and is a predicted model, not a curated record. The transcript is spliced from 3 exons. Lineage: Eukaryota; Metazoa; Arthropoda; Arachnida; Ixodida; Ixodidae.
GAGAGCGGCGACGCUUGGUGGGGGGAGGCCCUGUACGGUCCCGACUACGACAAUGCGACGCGAGGGUUCUUCGGGCACUGGCGCGAGAUCCGACGGCGGUUGCAGGGGUCUCUCAACACCGACGCCUAUCAGUCCAGCCUCCGCGUGUUCCGAUUGCAGUCGUCCUACCUGGCGACGUACGACGUCGUCUCUAACGCGAUUUCCGUCGGCGUCCAAGCAGUCACGGAGCCCUUCUAUGUGGCUGACGGUACGAGUGCCAUCAAUUACGGCGGCCUGGGCUUUCUCUAUGCCUUGCAGGUGGCGCGCACCAUCAACGCACUCACGCUCCUGCUCGACGGCGACCACACACCGUCGGCUCGGGUUCCUCCAACCAACGCCACCGACGCCAGCGGGGCUCCAGGACAGGCUCUGUGGAAGCUGGGCCGGUGCACUUCCUCCAACGCGUCCGCCCACGUGACGUCG